Long non-coding RNA from Oncorhynchus masou masou (cherry salmon), 1159 nucleotides. RefSeq lists it as uncharacterized. The record is from RefSeq and is a predicted model, not a curated record. Lineage: Eukaryota; Metazoa; Chordata; Actinopteri; Salmoniformes; Salmonidae. The transcript has 3 exons.
GUCCUCUGCGAGUCGUCUGCUGAAGGCCAAGAAGCAGGGCAUUCAAAACCGAUUUGAGAUGGAUCACAAAAUGUCUCAUGUGAGGAAAACCCUGUUGGACCACAGAAUGGGAGGACAAGUGAACAGUUUUUGAUGGCAAAGCAUCAUCCACCUGUAGCACGCGCUCCAGCAGGUAUAUCUCUCUGGUCACCCCCAAAACCAAUUCUUUCUUUGGCCGCUUCUCCUUCCAGUUCUCUGCUGCCAAUGACUGGAACAAACUACAAAAAUCUCUGAAACUGGAAACACUUAUCUCCCUCACUAGCUUUAAGCACCAACUGUCAGAGCAGCUCACAGAUUACUGCACCUGUACAUAGCCCACCUAUAAUUUAGCCCAAACAACUACCUCUUUCUGUCACGCCCUGGUCGAAGUAUAUUAUGUUUGUCUUCAUUUAUUUGGUCAGGCCAGGGUGUGACAUGGGUUAUUGUGGUGUGUUUUUGUCUUGGGGUUUUGUGGGGUGUCUAGCAUAGUCUAUGGCUGCCUGAGGCGGUUCUCAAUCAGAGUCAGGUGAUUAUCGUUGUCUCUGAUUGGGAACCAUAUUUAGGCAGCCAUAUUCUUUGAGUAUUUCGUGGAUGAUUGUUCCUGUCUCUGUGUUUGUUGUCACCAGAUAGGCUGUAUAGGUUUUCAUGUUCCGUUUGUUGUUUUUGUAUUGUUCGUGUUUUUUCAUCGUCAUUAAACAUGUCUAAAAAAUACCACACUGCAUUUUGGUCCGCUUCUCCUUCACCAGACGAGAACCGUUACACUUUCCCUACUGUAUUUAUUUUAUUUAUUUAUUUUGCUCCUUUGCACCCCAUUAUUUUUAUUUCUACUUUGCACAUUCUUCCACUGCAAAUCUACCAUUCCAGUGUUUUACUUGCUAUAUUGUAUUUACUUUGCCACCAUGGCGUUUUUUUGCCUUUACCUCCCUUAUCUCACCUCAUUUGCCUACAUCGUAUAUAGACUUGUUUAUACUGUAUUAUUGACUGCAUGUUUGUUUUACUCCAUGUGUAACUCUGUGUCGUUGUAUGUGUCGAACUGCUUUGCUUUAUCUUGGCCAGGUCGCAAUUGUAAUUGAGAACUUGUUCUCAACUUGCCUACCUGGUUAAAUAAAGGUGAAAUAAAAUGUGUAUAUGCUGAAUAAGG